RNAcentral lists this transfer RNA (74 nucleotides) under Tenericutes bacterium 4572_104. RNAcentral's name for it is "tRNA-Gly". It matches the Rfam family "tRNA". Rfam says of the family: Transfer RNA (tRNA) molecules are approximately 80 nucleotides in length. Their secondary structure includes four short double-helical elements and three loops (D, anti-codon, and T loops). The record is from RNAcentral. Lineage: Bacteria; Bacillati; Mycoplasmatota.
GCAGGUGUAGUUCAACGGCAGAACUUCAGCCUUCCAAGCUGACUACGAGGGUUCGAUUCCCUUCACCUGCUCCA